Molecule: ribosomal RNA, 194 nt
Filed under: uncultured bacterium
Lineage: Bacteria
Description: partial 16S ribosomal RNA
Rfam family: Bacterial small subunit ribosomal RNA
Source: RNAcentral
CCUACGGGAGGCAGCAGUGGGGAAUUUUGGACAAUGGGCGAAAGCCUGAUCCAGCCAUUCCGCGUGAGUGAAGAAGGCCUUCGGGUUGUAAAGCUCUUUAGUCAGGGAGCAAAUCCUACGUGUAAAUAAUGCGUGGGGAUGAGAGUACCUGAAGAAUAAGCACCGGCUAACUACGUGCCAGCAGCCGCGGUAAU